Long non-coding RNA from Haliotis rubra (blacklip abalone), 186 nucleotides. RefSeq lists it as uncharacterized. Lineage: Eukaryota; Metazoa; Mollusca; Gastropoda; Lepetellida; Haliotidae. The record is from RefSeq and is a predicted model, not a curated record. The transcript has 2 exons.
ACCAGUUUAAGAUACAAAGUGGGCGAUCCGGGAAACAGUCUGUGUUGUCUUUGCAGCAGUCGUUUGGAUGUCCCGGAAUGACACGAUAGAUACCGAAUAGGUUGCUGGGUGGCAGCACCGGGUAGCAAUUUCAAGGUCGGCACAUGGUUGCGGUACAGAAGAACUUUUCACACCAUGACCAGCUAG